AAGUUGACCUCAAAUCAGUAGAUGG
This 25-nucleotide ribosomal RNA is filed under the name Yamadazyma nakazawae. RNAcentral describes it as "partial 26S ribosomal RNA". Lineage: Eukaryota; Fungi; Ascomycota; Pichiomycetes; Serinales; Debaryomycetaceae. The record is from RNAcentral.